This 253-nucleotide ribosomal RNA is filed under the name uncultured bacterium. Its description in RNAcentral is "partial 16S ribosomal RNA". It matches the Rfam family "Bacterial small subunit ribosomal RNA", at positions 524 to 776 of the family's 1533-position model. The record is from RNAcentral.
UACGGGGGGGGUAAGCGUUGUUCGGAAUUACUGGGCGUAAAGGGCUCGUAGGCGGCCAACUAAGUCAGACGUGAAAUCCCUCAGCUUAACUGGGGAACUGCGUCUGAUACUGGAUGGCUUGGAUUCGGGAGAGGAAUGCGGAAUUCCAGGUGUAGCGGUGAAAUGCGUAGAUAUCUGGAGGAACACCGGUGGCGAAGGCGGCAUCCUGGACCAUUACUGACACUGAAAAGCGAAAGCCAGGGGAGCAAACGGG